Molecule: ribosomal RNA, 407 nt
Filed under: uncultured bacterium
Lineage: Bacteria
Description: partial 16S ribosomal RNA
Rfam family: Bacterial small subunit ribosomal RNA
Source: RNAcentral
GACGAACGCUGGCGGCGUGCCUAAUACAUGCAAGUAGAACGCAGUUGCGAACGGGUGAGUAACGCGUAGGUAACUGCCUCAUAGCGGGGGAUAACUAUUGGAAACGAUAGCUAAUACCGCAUUCUGGGAGAUGGACCUGCGUUGUAUUAGCUAGUUGGUGAGGUUAAGGCUCACCAAGGCGACGAUACAUAGCCGACUUGAGAGGGUGAACGGCCAAACUGGGUAUGGGACAAGGCCCAGACUCCUACGGGAGGCAGCCGGAGGGAAUCUUCGGAAAUGGACGGAAGUCUUACCGAGCAAAGCCGCGUGAGUGAAGAAGGUUUUCGGAUCGUAAAGCUAUGUUGUUAGAGAAGCGGUAACUAAACAGAAAGGGACGGCUAACUACGUGCCAGCAGCCGCGGUAAUUC